AUUGAACGCUGGCGGCAGGCUUAACACAUGCAAGUCGAGCGGAGUGAUGGUGCUUGCACUAUCACUUAGCGGCGGACGGGUGAGUAAUGCUUAGGAAUCUGCCAUUUAGUGGGGGACAACAUUCCGAAAGGAAUGCUAAUACCGCAUACGUCCUACGGGAGAAAGCAGGGGAUCUUCGGACCUUGCGCUAAAUGAUGAGCCUAAGUCGGAUUAGCUAGUUGGUGGGGUAAAGGCCUACCAAGGCGACGAUCUGUAGCGGGUCUGAGAGGAUGAUCCGCCACACUGGGACUGAGACACGGCCCAGACUCCUACGGGAGGCAGCAGUGGGGAAUAUUGGACAAUGGGCGGAAGCCUGAUCCAGCCAUGCCGCGUGUGUGAAGAAGGCCUUUUGGUUGUAAAGCACUUUAAGCGAGGAGGAGGCUACUAGUACUAAUACUACUGGAUAGUGGACGUUACUCGCAGAAUAAGCACCGGC
This 475-nucleotide ribosomal RNA is filed under the name Acinetobacter sp. ML11. RNAcentral describes it as "bacterial SSU rRNA". It matches the Rfam family "Bacterial small subunit ribosomal RNA", at positions 30 to 497 of the family's 1533-position model. Lineage: Bacteria; Pseudomonadati; Pseudomonadota; Gammaproteobacteria; Moraxellales; Moraxellaceae. The record is from RNAcentral.